RNAcentral lists this transfer RNA (77 nucleotides) under Thermincola sp. RNAcentral's name for it is "tRNA-Pro". It matches the Rfam family "tRNA". Rfam says of the family: Transfer RNA (tRNA) molecules are approximately 80 nucleotides in length. Lineage: Bacteria; Bacillati; Bacillota; Clostridia; Eubacteriales; Thermincolaceae. The record is from RNAcentral.
CGGGAUGUAGCGCAGCUUGGUAGCGCACUUGCCUUGGGAGCAAGGGGUCGCAGGUUCGAAUCCUGUCAUCCCGACCA